RNAcentral lists this unclassified non-coding RNA (382 nucleotides) under uncultured bacterium. RNAcentral's name for it is "contains 16S-23S intergenic spacer region". The record is from RNAcentral.
UCCCGGUUUCCCGGGCAGUCCCAUCAGAGUGCCUCCGAAGAGUAGCAACUGAUGGCAAGGGUUGCGCUCGUUAGAGGACUUAACCCAACAUCUCACGACACGAGCUGACGACAGCCAUGCAGCACCUGUGUACCUGUUCGGACCGAAGCCCGAAAGAUCGUAUUUCUACGACUGUCAAGUACAUGUCAAGCCCAGGUAAGGUUCCUCGCGUAGUGUCGAAUUAAACCACAUGUUCCACCGCUUGUGCGGACCCCCGUCAAUUCCUUUAAGUUUUAGUCUUGCGACCGUACUCCCCAGGCGGAUCACUUAACGCGUUAGCUACGACACUAGUCUCGCUAAGCAAGACUAACGUCCAGUGAUCAUCGUUUACAGCGUGGACUAC